CCUACGGGUGGCAGCAGUGGGGAAUUUUGCGCAAUGCUCGAAAGCGUGACGCAGCGACGCAGCGUGAAUGACGAAGGCCUUCGGGUCGUAAAGUUCUUUCGACAGGGAAGAAAAUGCCUAUAAGUAACUGUGUAUGUAUUGACGGUACCUGUAUAGGCAGCCCCGGCUAACUCCGUGCCAGCAGCCGCGGUAAUACGGAGGGGGCGAGCGUUGUUCGGAGUGACUGGGCGUAAAGAGCACGUAGGCGGUGUUGUAAGUCAUUAGUUAAAGACUAGAGCUCAACUUUAGUAAGGCUAGUGAUACUAUAAUACUAGAGUAUCAGAGAGGAUAGCAGAAUUCCUGGUGUAGCGGUGAAAUGCGUAGAUAUCAGGAGGAAUACCGUUAGCGAAGGCGGCAAUCUGGCUGGAAACUGACGCUGAGGUGCGAAAGCGUGGGUAGCAAACAGGAUUAGAUACCCCAGUAGUC
This 465-nucleotide ribosomal RNA is filed under the name uncultured bacterium. RNAcentral's name for it is "partial 16S ribosomal RNA". It matches the Rfam family "Bacterial small subunit ribosomal RNA", at positions 338 to 795 of the family's 1533-position model. The record is from RNAcentral.